This is a non-coding RNA of Pelobates cultripes (western spadefoot toad), 909 nucleotides long. Lineage: Eukaryota; Metazoa; Chordata; Amphibia; Anura; Pelobatidae. The record is from the annotation of a GenBank genome assembly.
ACUACUUCAAAUAAAAAAUGCAUACAUUGCUUCUUACAAAAGAUCUAAUUUACAGUGCAGCUCAUUGAUGCAGUUGAACACAAAAUAUCAGUGCACGUUACAAAGAACACAACAAUUACAAAGGAAGCAAAUAAAUACAAACAUACAUCACCAAACAUCCUCAGCAUCAGACAUCAAAUUUUAAAUUAAAAGCCUCAGCAAUAACUACAAACAUUUGAGUGAUUUCAUAUUUAACUUAAAUAUAGAACACAUAAAUAUGUAGUAAAUUAAAUAUUAACAUGUGCAUCAAUUGAAGUUUUAAGGACUAACUUCUUCAUCCCUGAAUGUAUCCACCUUCUUAUUAAGCUGGAGUUUAACCAAUUCAGUUUAACUCUGCAGGUGGCAGUUUAUUUUUUUUUCUUAUGUUUUAGUCCAAUGCCCUUGUCCAUCCAUUGCACCAUCAUUUAAACACGGUGAUAAUAUCUAGGAUAAUUUGCAAAUAUGCCCAAAGGGAUAACCAAAGCCAAAACCUCAUUGGUGUUAAUAACAUAAAUUACCAGAUGGCACUUUCAUAGCAUAACUCUAGAUGUAAAAAGGUCUAAGAAUAUAUUGGUAAUUUCUUUGCUAAACAUCCUAAAACACAAAAAUGCUUGUUGCAAGUGAUAAAUAAUGGAUUAGAACUUUGCUAGAGAACUAGGCAUGUCAUUUAGAAUGUAUGUUUUUAACAAACGUAGGGGAUAUAUUUACUUUAGUAGGGUGUGUGUCUAAGCACCUAAGACUCAUUAAGGCUGUUGCAUUUUACACAGUAUAUUGUUUUAUAUCUACAUGUGUAUUUAGUUUGACUAAAAAAAUCAACCUUUCUGAAUAGUUAAAAAUCAUGGACCCAAUCAAAACUGCUAAUAAGAGCAUUUAUCAUGCCUUAUAAAUAAA